GGGCGUUUAGCGCAGUGGUAGCGCGUAUGCUUUGCAAGACUUUCUUGCACCCUCCUGUAUAAGGUCCAGGGUUCAAUCCCCUGAACGUCCA
Dendrothele bispora CBS 962.96 is the source of this 91-nucleotide non-coding RNA. Lineage: Eukaryota; Fungi; Basidiomycota; Agaricomycetes; Agaricales. The record is from the annotation of a GenBank genome assembly.